The submitters of this non-coding RNA (73 nucleotides) gave its source as unclassified sequences. The record is from Rfam.
ACUGUGGAGUGUACAAGAACUUGUGAGUAGUGUGUUGCCUGCAACCACCAAAGCAUACACGAUGAAGCAGUAA